AUUGAACGCUGGCGGCAGGCCUAACACAUGCAAGUCGAACGGUAGCACAGAGAGCUUGCUCUCGGGUGACGAGUGGCGGACGGGUGAGUAACGUCUGGGAAACUGCCCGAUGGAGGGGGAUAACUACUGGAAACGGUAGCUAAUACCGCAUAACGUCGCAAGACCAAAGUGGGGGACCUUCGGGCCUCACACCAUCGGAUGUGCCCAGAUGGGAUUAGCUAGGAGGUGGGGUAAUGGCUCACCUAGGCGACGAUCCCUAGCUGGUCUGAGAGGAUGACCAGCCAAACUGGAACUGAGACACGGUCCAGACUCCUACGGGAGUCAGCAGUGGGGAAUAUUGCACAAUGGGCGCAAGCCUGAUGCAGCCAUGCCGCGUGUAUGAAGAAGGCCUUCGGGUUGUAAAGUACUUUCAGCGGGGAGGAAGGCGGUGAAGUUAAUAACUUCACCGAUUGACGUUACCCGCAGAAGAAGCACCGGCUAACUCCGUGCCAGCAGCCGCCGUAA
RNAcentral lists this ribosomal RNA (504 nucleotides) under uncultured bacterium. Its description in RNAcentral is "partial 16S ribosomal RNA". It matches the Rfam family "Bacterial small subunit ribosomal RNA", at positions 30 to 523 of the family's 1533-position model. The record is from RNAcentral.